Molecule: non-coding RNA, 1829 nt
Organism: Phasianus colchicus (ring-necked pheasant)
Lineage: Eukaryota; Metazoa; Chordata; Aves; Galliformes; Phasianidae
Source: RefSeq, a predicted model, not a curated record
UGUGUUCAGAGAAAGCCAAAGAAUCUGGAGAGGGUUCUGGAGUGCAAGUCUUAUAAGGAGUGGCUGAGGGAACUGGAUUGUUCAGUCUAGAGAGGAGGUUCAGGGGGGGCCUUAUUGCUCUCUACAACUCCCUGAAAGGAAGUUGUGAUACGAUGAGAGUUGGCCUUUUCUUUCAGACACCAAUGACCUAGAUUUUCCAUGGAUGGCUGUCAAUUUUUGUUCUCAUCUGAAGUCUUCUUUCAGAAAUAAAUAAGAACACCUGUGUCUGAUGAGGGACCGUGCCAUAGUCAUAUCAGACAUGCUUUGAGGGAUUGUCCUCCAGAAGUUACAAGUGAUCAGUGUGACAGCAUCAGAAAAAGUGCCUGUGCAUGUGCAGCCCACCCUGUGUGCACAUUGGUGGUGAGACUCCAAACAACAAUGUGUCUUUCCAUUUUGAUGGUGAAAGAGAGAAAUACUUCGUCAGGCACAUCAGUGGGAAACAGCAGAUCUGAAGCCCACAGUGGUUCCUGUGGAAUCACUGCAUUUCAGUUUGUGUGGGGGCAGAGACUGGCAUACUUAAUUUGCAGAUUUUCUUUGUAUUUGCAAUCUAGAAGUGGGACAAGAGAUCCCUCUAGACGGGGCGUGUUGGAGUGAACAGAAGCAGAAUCUGUCUGCUCAUGUCUGCAGUUGACUGAGUAGUUCUGCCUUUCCGAGUUCCACAAAGUGACUGCAUAAAUCCUGCUCUACACUGAAGACAAAGUUCAUCUGAUACACUUUCUUGCCAAAGUGCAGACAGUCCCUUUCUAAGUAAUCUUUUCCAGGGAACAGGAUUUUUAUGGCUCUUUAAUGCUCCAUCAGGUGUUAAUCGUAAUGUUUUACUGUCUGAAUAACAAACAUAUCUCCCUCAAGAAAGUUUUGGUUCACAUCCAAAAUUCUGUUCCCAGAGCAGACAAUGCACUUUGAUAGCAGUGACCACAUUUUACCCUGCGCCCAAUGAAUUUCCAGGCUCAGGAACUGAGAGAGAGAGAUUUUUUAGCUGUUGUCUUUGAUAUUACUGAAAAGCCUUUAUGUUACACUCCAGGAUACUGCAGCUGUGGAAAUCAGUAAUUUCAGGGAAGAAUAAUCUAAUUCCUCUCUCUUAUUCUUACAUGUAAAUGUGUCUUGAUUAAGGUUAAAGUAUAGCAGUGUGUUGCAAGAGGGAUGAAAAUCAGUGCUUUGCUCAGGUGAUCCAGAACUGGACCAAUGCAGAAAGGUGUGCAUUCAUAGAAGCAUGAGCAAGUUUUUAUUCCUGUAAGAAAGGGAAUUAAGUGUGUUCUCUUCUUCCACAUCAUGGGCUCUAAAAAGAUUUAAGUACAGACUCUUGGUCAAUAUUUUUAAAAGGUCGCCUAAGUGUCUGAGAAACUAGGACCUCAUUUUCAGAGCAGACAGUUUACUUGGCACCUGUCUUCACAGUACUUGUACAAAAUUGGAUUUUGGUUCUGAAAACACAGUAAAUUCUACUUUUUUUCUCUCUCUACAUUGUACCUUUACAACACUGAGUUUAUGAAGCACCACUCUGUGAAAUAUUCCAGGCCCCAGUUUUGAUAUGACUCAGGAAGAGAUGUUGUUUUACAUUAUAUAAAGUCAACAUGAUUUUUUCUGUCAAAAAAGUCUUUGAGGCAGCUAUUCUUGUCUGUGUUUUCACCUGUAAAUUAAACAUAAUCUUAUAAUGGUACCUUUCAGUAACUGCUCUUCAGAAAAAAUAGGAAAAAUACAAUAACCACCUCUUUCAUUCCUUCAACUGCAAUUUUUUUAUCCUUUAUUUUUCACCUUUUGAUCUCAGAAUCUUUCAUGAAAGUAAUAAAAACAGU